Molecule: ribosomal RNA, 253 nt
Filed under: uncultured bacterium
Lineage: Bacteria
Description: partial 16S ribosomal RNA
Rfam family: Bacterial small subunit ribosomal RNA
Source: RNAcentral
GACAGAGGGUGCAAACGUUGUUCGGAAUUACUGGGCGUAAAGCGCGUGUAGGCUGCUCGGAAAGUCGGAUGUGAAAGCCCUGGGCUCAACCCAGGAAGAGCAUUCGAUACUCCCGAGCUCGAGUCCCGGAGAGGAAGGCGGAAUUCUCGGUGUAGAGGUGAAAUUCGUAGAUAUCGAGAGGAACACCUGUGGCGAAGGCGGCCUUCUGGACGGUGACUGACGCUGAGACGCGAAAGCGUGGGGAGCAAACAGG